AAAUUGCCCUGGAUGUGGGGGAUAACCAUUGGAAACGAUGGCUAAUACCGCAUAAUACCUACGGGUCAAAGAGGGGGACCUUCGGGCCUCUCGCGUCAGGAUAUGCCUAGGUGGGAUUAGCUAGUUGGUGAGGUAAUGGCUCCCAAGGCGACGAUCCCUAGCUGGUCUGAGAGGAUGAUCAGCCACACUGGAACUGAGACACGGUCCAGACUCCUACGGGAGGCAGCAGUGGGGAAUAUUGCACAAUGGGCGCAAGCCUGAUGCAGCCAUGCCGCGUGUGUGAAGAAGGCCUUCGGGUUGUAAAGCACUUUCAGUCGUGAGGAAGGUAGUGUAGUUAAUAGCUGCAUUAUUUGACGUUAGCGACAGAAGAAGCACCGGCUAACUCCGUGCCAGCAGCCGCGGUAAUACGGAGGGUGCGAGCGUUAAUCGGAAUUACUGGGCGUAAAGCGCAUGCAGG
Molecule: ribosomal RNA, 457 nt
Filed under: Vibrio vulnificus
Lineage: Bacteria; Pseudomonadati; Pseudomonadota; Gammaproteobacteria; Vibrionales; Vibrionaceae
Description: bacterial SSU rRNA
Rfam family: Bacterial small subunit ribosomal RNA
Source: RNAcentral